RNAcentral lists this ribosomal RNA (1423 nucleotides) under Salmonella enterica. RNAcentral's name for it is "partial 23S ribosomal RNA". It matches the Rfam family "Bacterial large subunit ribosomal RNA", at positions 566 to 1825 of the family's 2925-position model. Lineage: Bacteria; Pseudomonadati; Pseudomonadota; Gammaproteobacteria; Enterobacterales; Enterobacteriaceae. The record is from RNAcentral.
UGAACUCCACAUACGCAUCCUUUGCUGAAGGCAAUGGUUAACGGAGCGAAAGCGACGUUCAACCGCAAAACAAGCAGAGGGGGCUUAGUGGUGGGGUGACUGCGUACCUUUUGUAUAAUGGGUCAGCGACUUAUAUUCUGUAGCAAGGUUAACCGUAUAGGGGAGCCGGAGGGAAACCGAGUCUUAAUUGGGCGUUAAGUUGCAGGGUAUAGACCCGAAACCCGGUGAUCUAGCCAUGGGCAGGUUGAAGGUUGGGUAACACUAACUGGAGGACCGAACCGACUAAUGUUGAAAAAUUAGCGGAUGACCUGUGGCUGGGGGUGAAAGGCCAAUCAAACCGGGAGAUAGCUGGUUCUCCCCGAAAGCUAUUUAGGUAGCGCCUCGUGAAUUCAUCUCCGGGGGUAGAGCACUGUUUCGGCUAGGGGGCCAUCCCGGCUUACCAACCCGAUGCAAACUGCGAAUACCGGAGAAUGUUAUCACGGGAGACACACGGCGGGUGCUAACGUCCGUCGUGAAGAGGGAAACAACCCAGACCGCCAGCUAAGGUCCCAAAGUCAUGGUUAAGUGGGAAACGAUGUGGGAAGGCCCAGACAGCCAGGAUGUUGGCUUAGAAGCAGCCAUCAUUUAAAGAAAGCGUAAUAGCUCACUGGUCGAGUCGGCCUGCGCGGAAGAUGUAACGGGGCUAAACCAUGCACCGAAGCUGCGGCAGCGAACGUAUCACUUAAAGCGAUUCAGCGGGUUACGAUUGACGGAGCGAAGCGACGUCAAAGCGUAUACAAAGUCGAGUCGGUUUAAGGAUACGUUCGUUGGGUAGGGGAGCGUUCUGUAAGCCUGCGAAGGUGGCCUGUGAGGGUUGCUGGAGGUAUCAGAAGUGCGAAUGCUGACAUAAGUAACGAUAAAGCGGGUGAAAAGCCCGCUCGCCGGAAGACCAAGGGUUCCUGUCCAACGUUAAUCGGGGCAGGGUGAGUCGACCCCUAAGGCGAGGCCGAAAGGCGUAGUCGAUGGGAAACGGGUUAAUAUUCCCGUACUUGGUGUUACUGCGAAGGGGGGACGGAGAAGGCUAUGUUGGCCGGGCGACGGUUGUCCCGGUUUAAGCGUGUAGGCUGGUUUUCCAGGCAAAUCCGGAAAAUCAAGGCUGAGGCGUGACGACGAGGCACUACGGUGCUGAAGCAACAAAUGCCCUGCUUCCAGGAAAAGCCUCUAAGCAUCAGGUAACACGAAAUCGUACCCCAAACCGACACAGGUGGUCAGGUAGAGAAUACCAAGGCGCUUGAGAGAACUCGGGUGAAGGAACUAGGCAAAAUGGUGCCGUAACUUCGGGAGAAGGCACGCUGACACGUAGGUGAAGUGAUUUACUCAUGGAGCUGAAGUCAGUCGAAGAUACCAGCUGGCUGCAACUGUUUAUUAAAAACACAGCACUGUG